RNAcentral lists this ribosomal RNA (270 nucleotides) under uncultured prokaryote. RNAcentral's name for it is "partial 16S ribosomal RNA". It matches the Rfam family "Bacterial small subunit ribosomal RNA", at positions 524 to 792 of the family's 1533-position model. The record is from RNAcentral.
UACGUAGAAGGCAAGCGUUAUUCGGAUUUACUGGGCGUAAAGAGGGUGUAGGCGGCCUUUCAAGUCGGAUGUGAAAUUUCUCGGCUUAACCGAGAGGGGUCAUCCGAUACUGCUAGGCUAGAGUGCAGCAAGAGGAGGUGGAAUUCCCGGUGUAGUGGUGAUAUGCGUAGAUAUCGGGAGGAACACCAGUGGCGAAGGCGGCCUCCUGGGCUGUUUCUGACGCUUAAACCCGAAAGUGUGGGGAGCGAACAGGAUUAGAUACCCCCCGUA